AUCAUCGAUCACGUGUGAUGA
This 21-nucleotide microRNA is filed under the name Caenorhabditis elegans. RNAcentral describes it as "Cel-Mir-392-v1_3p (mature (guide))". Lineage: Eukaryota; Metazoa; Nematoda; Chromadorea; Rhabditida; Rhabditidae. The record is from RNAcentral.